This 465-nucleotide ribosomal RNA is filed under the name uncultured bacterium. RNAcentral's name for it is "partial 16S ribosomal RNA". It matches the Rfam family "Bacterial small subunit ribosomal RNA", at positions 339 to 795 of the family's 1533-position model. The record is from RNAcentral.
CUACGGGUGGCUGCAGUGGGGAAUAUUGGACAAUGGGGGAAACCCGGAUCCAGCAAUGCCGCGUGUGUGAAGAAGGCCUGCGGGUUGUAAAGCACUUUCGGUUGGGAGGACUGCUUCUAGCACUAAUAUUGUUGGAAGUUGACGUUACCUUCAGAAGAAGCACCGGCUAACUCCGUGCCAGCAGCCGCGGUAAUACGGAGGGUGCAAGCGUUAAUCGGAAUUACUGGGCGUAAAGCGCGCGUAGGCGGCUAGAUCAGUCGGGUGUGAAAGCCCCGGGCUUAACCUGGGAACUGCAUCCGAUACUGUCUAGCUUGAGUACAGGAGAGGAGAGUGGAAUUCCACAUGUAGCGGUGAAAUGCGUAGAUAUGUGGAGGAACACCAAUGGCGAAGGCAGCUCUCUGGCCUGAUACUGACGCUGAGGUGCGAAGGCGUGGGGAGCAAACAGGAUUAGAUACCCCGGUAGUC